AACCCCUACUACACUGUUGCUUUCACUGAGAUUUUGUCACGCUCACCCAUUGCCAUUGAAUGACCCUGUACUCGAACACACCUGUGUUGACAUGCCUGACUUCUCAGUGCUGUAACACAGCUGAGGAUGUCAAGGGUGCUGUCAAGGCCCAAAAACCUAGCUGUCCCUGCCAAGGGAGGAGGAGGGCAAAGUCUGCCUUGGCCACGGGUACAUUGUGUUCACUGUGUAAUGCUGGCUACAGUUGGAAUAUUGGUUUGACCAGGGUCAUUAUUUUUCAGCUGAUCACUGUUAGAAGAUAGCACUGCACAACAUGCCACUGUCUGUCUAUCUUACUGUUAGUGAAUGUCUAAAGCUGAAUCAGUUAAAUCAUGAAGGUACAGCAGCCAAAUUACAUUAUGAUCUGACAGGCUGUUCACACUUGGCCUGAUGAUCUCAUCCACUCAAGGAUAGCAGUUUUGAUAAAGGAUUUCCAUAUAAACUGAAGCAAGUCUUGUCUGGCGAUGCAGCAGGCAUGUAUCCGUUUUUCAAAUAUGCAGCACUUUUUCUAGAACCCCUAACUGUAAAUCAACCCUUGUAUCACAUUGAAGUUGGGGGAGUCUUUGUGUUUACACUGUAGAUGUCUGUGUUUAAUGGAUAUUAUAUCCUUCCUCACUUGCCCUCUGUUUUAGGAUCCUGAAUCUGGUGACCCGCCAAGGAGCGACAUGGGCGAACACACGUGGCUCUGUGGAGUGUGUUUUGGGUGGCCAUCGAGAAGACCCAAGGAGCAGAGGAUGACAUCAACACUGUUGCUGCCGGGACCAUGACAGGCAUGCUGUACAAGUCCACAGGUGAUGUACGUGGGGCAGCGCGAGGGGGCCUGGCGGACAGGUCUCUAUGCUCUGUACAACAACUGGGACCAUCUGAAGGGAAACCUUCCCACCUGCUACUGAGCCCUGCACUGCAGGAACACUGGAGGAUGAACCAGUCAACAUUUCCCAAAUUGAUCCUUAUUCCUUUGUAGACAUACCCCUUGACUUAUUCCACAUUUUGUUGUUACAGCCUGAAUUCAAACUGAAUUAAAUAAUGUUUUUUUUCUGAC
Long non-coding RNA from Coregonus clupeaformis (lake whitefish), 1078 nucleotides. RefSeq lists it as uncharacterized. The transcript has 3 exons. Lineage: Eukaryota; Metazoa; Chordata; Actinopteri; Salmoniformes; Salmonidae. The record is from RefSeq and is a predicted model, not a curated record.